RNAcentral lists this long non-coding RNA (231 nucleotides) under Elaeis guineensis (African oil palm). RNAcentral describes it as "long non-coding RNA (EGUI_LNC034964)". The record is from RNAcentral. Lineage: Eukaryota; Viridiplantae; Streptophyta; Magnoliopsida; Arecales; Arecaceae.
CUCGCUGCCAAAUUUUUCAGUUUAUGAAUUUAAAAGAACUUCGGAUACUGAAAGCAUAUUAAGAGAAGAUGUUAUCACAAAUUUGGAAGCAAUACUUCAAGCCUUCAAGAGUUCCACCGAGGGCAUCAAUUUCUCAAGCACACCGAACAAAGUAAAAUUGAAAUAGAGUGCAAAAGGAAAUUUCACUAUCAAGAAAUGUUACUUUUUCUAAAGAAUGAUGGUAUUUGGACA